CUAACUUUGGUGCUACCCGCCAUAAAACCGAAGAAGAAGAAGAUAUUUUGACGCGGAAUGCAGCGCUGGUAAACUUUACUCUAGCGUCUGAUAAUUAUUUUGUGUUGCUCUGCACGCCAUCAUAACAUUUCGCCAGCACUGCAGUCACGCAGUCUGUUUUUGUUUCCUAACCGCGCUUGCUGCAUAUGCUCAGGUAAUAAAUUUCCCAUGAGUCGGGAUACACACUGCAUUCAGUUUAUCUGACUCUCCAGUCAGAAUGUGUCUGUGUGACCAGUGUAUCAGAAAUACAGAUUCCUCACCAUGGCAACAAGCCCACCCAGACGGCACCUGGCUGUCUAGUCUGAGACACACACGCACACGGUUAUGGGAUUUCCAAACAAAACAUGCAAUACACCAGGUUUCCUCAAAUCUUGUCUUGGAGGGCCAGUGCCUGAUCAAACUCACCUACCUGUGAUUUUCUAAUGAUUGUGAAGACAUUGAUUAGCAUGCUCAGGUGUGUUUUAUUAGGGUUAGAGCUAAACUCUGCAGAAAAGUGGAUCUUAUGGGCCAGAUUUGAAGAUCUAUAUGUACUUAUUAUAUGGUAAAGGUUUGAUUUAGGGUUACUUUCAUUUAUUUAUGCAUAAUUAAUUGCUAUCAUAUAAUAGUAGGUACAUGCAAUGUGUAACAAGGACAUCUUUAAAUAAAAAUAUAUAUAUUUAUAUUUAUGUUAUACUAGUUUGUUGAGCAUGAGAUUAUUAAAUAAUGGCAAUGUAAAUAAAAAAAAUCUCACUUCACCAUUAACCACAAUGUUUGUGCUGUUUUAUGUGAGCAUGUCUCCUUUGGGAUUUUACAGCUGCAAAACUGACUGUGCAUCCAGACUGUUGAUCCCCGUGAACCAGAUGCCCAGUUCAUCCUUGGCUGCGAAAGCAGGACAUGGACAGUCAUGAAGAAAUCCAAUCAGCCUACAAACCAUGCAGUGAAUACCAAGAGAGAGAAUAUGAGAGGCUGUGUUUGGAAUGGCAUACUUACUGAAUACUAGUAGUACGCAGAGAUUUAAAUAGUAUGUGUUUGCAUUUUAAAUACAGUUUUCAGAUUUAAAAAAUGGGAUAGUUCUUAUGGAAAUGUCUUAAUGGGAUAGUUCACCCAAAAAUGACAUUUCUGUCUUAAGAGUGGUUCCAAACCUGUAUGAGAUUGUUCCUUUUACAGAACAAAAAGAGGAUGAAGAACACUGGAGUCAAAAACAUUUAUUAAUUUAUUUAUCAAUAUAUAUCUUUGGUGUUCAACAGAAGAAAAAAAAAAGAAUGGGAAUUUUUGGUUAAUUAUUUUUCACUCAUUUUUACAUGGCUUGAUUGACUUUAUAUUAAAUAUAUAUUUAAUAUAUUGAAUAUACUGUAUUUUAUAAAGUCAAUAAAGGGAUGUUAAGAAAUAGCUAAUAGUGAGGUUUGUUUCUUUUUUAAUUAUUUGUUAAAAUUGUUUCAAAAUGAAUCCUGCACUAGUUUUAUCAACAUAUUUGUAGACUGAUGUGAAUUUCCUCUCAGGUAUUCACAUUUCACAAGGCAAGUAAGUCUGUUUCCAGGUACAGUAUUCAG
This is a long non-coding RNA of Carassius auratus (goldfish), 1568 nucleotides long. RefSeq lists it as uncharacterized. The record is from RefSeq and is a predicted model, not a curated record. The transcript has 3 exons. Lineage: Eukaryota; Metazoa; Chordata; Actinopteri; Cypriniformes; Cyprinidae.